AUGAAAUAGAUACUGGAGUGCUGUGAAAAGAAUGGGUAAAGAGGUAUAAGGAGCUAAGAAACCUGAAUGUCUAGAACUCAGAGAAAGAAAGCAAAAGAGAUGUGGACACUGAGAGAAAUCCAACUAGAGAUAGUGAGAAAUAGGAGAUGGAUGGAGAAAGACAUCAAAAGUAUGAGAAAUGUAUGAAAAGAGAGAGCAAGAGAGUGAGUGAUGUGUGGAAAUAGCCCUGUCACGCACAGAAAAGAUAUUUGGCUGGAAAUAAGUGUGCUUUGCUGUGUGUGUGUGUGUGUGGGGGGGUGGUAUAUGCGUGUGUGUGUAUGCCUAUGUGUCUGUGCGUGUGUUCGUGCACGUGCGUGUGUGGGUAUGUGCGUGCGUGUGUGUGCAUGUGCGUGUAUGUGUAUGAAAGCAGAAGCCUAAGCCAUGCAGGAUGAAUAGCUGACAAACAACUAAACCAUGAAAGGAUGAAAGAUGAGAGGGUGAGUGUCAAAAAUGCUUCGCUGCACAAGAGCCAUUGGAGAACGUGCAAGAAAAUGGUGAAGAGUGAAAGUGAUGAUUGGGCGUUUAGAAAAUCUACCUGAAUGAAUGAAUGAGGAGAGAAGUGAUGGAGUGAAUGAGCGUGGUGUGGAGAGACAAGGCUGCUCCCUGUGGGCUAUGCGGCUAAAUCUAUUGAGCUUGAUUGUGACCGAUGUAUGAAAGCAGAAACUCCAGGUUUGUGUGGUCAAGGGAUCAUUGAGCUAUAGAGGGGCAGAGAAGAGUUUAGGGUCUAGUACUAAUAGAGCAUGAAUGAAUACAGAAGAGGCCGGGCCACUGUGAAAAACAAAGAGUGAGAAAAUGUGAGAUUGCUGGUACGAAAGGUCAAAAGUGUGAGAUGUGUGAAGGUGGAAAUGCUCUGGAGUGAGAGGUGCCUGGGUAAAGGUAACUGUCAAAACACUGAAGUGAGAAAACAGAAUGGGAAAUAAUCAAGGACAGACUGCUGAGCAAAGGGAGAAAGCCAAGAUUUUAGAAGCAAGAAGAUAAAGUGGUUCUAGGGAACUAACAAGGUAAACACAAGGACAUAUUGAUAAAGACUAGUGAGAUGUGGCUGGUACAAAUAUCACUGGGGAGUCAGACACCUUUGUGAAAUAAGAUGUUGAUUGGGACUUGAAUGUGUAGAGCAAGGCCAACUCUGAGUGUUGGCUAAUUGGCCAUAUGCAGAAGAUGAGAGAUGAACAGCUAAAGAGAACGAGAGGGGAAAGUAGAGUAAGAAAUCCAGAUGGGAUGAAGGUGAGAAUGUAAGACACAGAGGCCAAAAGAAAAGUGUGAGAAGAGACCCAACUUCUGAUACUUGAGGGGACAGUCAAAUUCCAAUAAGAAAAAUGCUGAAUGGAAAGAGAAGGCAAUGUGAGAUGACUGAAUGGGGGAGCAGCAAAGAAAAGAAUAAUAAUCAGUGAUACUGAAUGAAAGAGAAACAUGGGGACAAGAACACAGAGAAGGGGAAUUGAAUGGGAAGAGAAGUUGAUAGUGUGAAAGGUGUAGAAAAGGAGAUAUACUUGCAAGGGAGCCCAAUGGAUACUUAAGAGUAUAGAAGGUAGAUCGUGGUGAUAUACAGGUAGUAAAAGUCAAGACACUAUUAGAAGAGAACCCAAGAGUUAAAUGAAUGGAGAAAGAGGGAAAGUUAACACUGGAUAGCAAGUGAGUAAGAGAUAUCUAGAAAUGGAGAUGUAUUGAAUGUAAGAUUUGUAGCUGCAGAUCGUGAGACAAUGAGGUGAGUAGGAAAGCCCAAGAAAUCAAGUGGGGAAGGUGGAGAAAAUACAGAUUACAGGGACUGUGAAAAGGUCUAGAUGCUGAACAUUCAACAAUCAAACCUAAGAAGGAAAGGCUCAGGGAUAGGAAGCUGAAUGAAGAGCAGUAUGAAAGAUGACUGUGUCCUAGGAAAAGUCCCUGAGGGAGAGAGAAGGCCCAGACAGAUGAAGGAACAAGUGGGACAUGUAUGUGUACAGAUAUUGAGAGAUAAAUGGACAUUUUGGGGUGUCGACAUUGAAUGGAUGAAGAAAAUUUGGGAGAGGAGAGUGGAGUGAGAAAAUGAGAGUCAGAGGAUAAGUAUGUGUGGACUUAAGGGCAGAAUGAAAGAAUGAAUGGAGAGACCCAAACUCUGAUAAAUGAAUGACUGUGAAAUCUCAAUGAGAAGGAAUGCAUGAAUGUUGAGAAGGAUGCAGUGUUGAACUGAGGAGCUGAAAAGAGCAGCCACAUCCAAAGAGAAAGAGUUUUAGGGUUCUUGAGAGAAGUAGAAAGGAACAUGUGUUGAGACCUAGACUGUGGAAAAUGGAAUUUAGACACUUGAGUUAUGUGAAAUGAAUGGGGAAAGAGGUAUAAGGAACUGAGAAACCUAAAUACCUAAAAGUCAGAGGCAGAAAAUAAAGGGAACAAAGACCUAGAUCUUGCAGAGCUUCCAAGUGGAGAAAGUGAGAAUUAAGAGAUGGAUGGAGAGAGAAACCAAAAGAGUGGGCAGUGUGUGGAAAGAGAUUGAAUAAUGUAUUAAUGGAGAGAGAAAGAGAGUAAGUAAUGGAUUGAAAGAUCUGUAUGCAAGUAAGAAAUUCUGGUUGGAAAUACCUAUACAUUUCAGUGUGUGUGUGAAAGCAGAAGCCUAAAGCAUGUAGGAUGAAUAGCUGACAAACAACAAAAAGGAUGAAUGAUGAGAGGGUGAGAGUCAAAAAUGUUAUGCUUUAAAAGAACCAUUGGAGAACAUGCAAGUAAAUGGUGUAGAGUGAAAGUGAUGAUUGGGUGUUUACAAAAUCUACCUGAAGGAGCGAAGGAUAAGAGAAGUGAUGUACGGAAUGAGCAUGGUGUGGAGAGAAAAAAAGCUUUCCCCUGGGGGCUGCAUGGCUAAAUCUAGCAAGCUUGACUGUGACCAGUGUAUGAAAGGAGAAACUUCAGGUUUGUGUGGUCAAGGGAUCAUUCGACUACAGCGGGGGUAGAGAAAAGUUUAGGUCUAGUACUAAUAGAGCAUGAAUAAAUACAGAAGAGGCUGGGUCACUGUGAAAAACAAAGAGUGAGAAAAUGUCAGAUUGCUGGUAAGAAAGGUCAAACGUGUGAGAUGUGUGAAGGUGGAAAUGCUCUGGAGUUAGAGCUGCCUGGGUAAAGAUAUCUGUCAAUACACCAAAAUGAGAAAGCAGAAUGGGAAACAAUCAAGGAUGGGCUGCUGAGCAAAGGGAGAAAGCCAAGAUUUUAGAAGACAAGGAGAUAGAGGGGCUCUAGAGAACCACUGAGGUAGAAACAGGUACAUGUGGAUAGGGACUAGUGAGAUCUGGCUGCUACAAAUAUCACUGGAGUAUCAGAAACUUGUGUUCAAUAAGAUGUUGGGCCUUUGUAUGGGUAGAGCAAGGUUAACUGUGUGUGAUAGAUAACUGGCUAUAUACAGAAGAUGAGAGGUGAGUUGCUAAAGAGAAAGAGAGAGGAGAAUAGACUGAGAAAUCCAGAUGGGGCAAAGGUGAGAAUGUGAGACCCAGAGACCACAAAGAGAGGAGUGAAAGAAGAGACCCAACCUCUGAUACUUGAGGGGACAGUCAAAUUCCAAUAAGAAAAAGAGUGAGUGAAAAGAGAAGGCAAUGUGAGGUGAUUGAAUGGGAGAGCAUGAAAGAAAGGAACAAUGACUGAUGAGAAUGAUUGAAUGAGAAACAUUGGGAGAACACAGAGAAGGAGAAAUGAAUGGGAAGACAAAUCAAUAGAGUGAAAGGUUUAGAAAAAGAUACGUCAGCAGGGGAACAUAGUGGAUCUGAAGACUGAACCAGGUAGAUUUUGUUGUUAUUCAGCUAGAGAAAUGCAAGCUACUAGUAGAAGAGGAUCCAAGACUGAAAGAGUUGGAUAAAUGGGGAAAGAGGAAAAGGGAGUCAGAGUUACAUGAAAAUGGAGAUGUACUGAGAGUUUUGUAGGUUAUGAUUGUGAGACAGAAAGGGGGGCUGGAAAGCCUAUGAAAUAAAGUAUGGAAGGUGGAGAAAAGAGAGAUAGCCAAGGUUGCGAAAAGAUCAGAAUGUCAUAAAAAAAGGAGCAGGGAAAGCUCAGGGAGAAGGAGCUGAAGCAAAAGCCAUAUGAGAAAUGAUUGUAUCCUAGGGAAAAAGAGAGGAGGGAGGGAGAGGGAGAGAGAGAGAGAGAGAGAGAGAGAGAGAGAGAGAGAGAGAGAGAGAAAGAAAGCCUUGACUGAUAGAAGGGAACAAGUGGGACAUGUAUGCAUACAGAUAUUGAGGGAGGAAUGGAUAUCCUGGGGUGUUGAAAUUCAAUGGAUGAAGAGAAAUUAGGAGAGGAGAGUGGAGUGAGAACAUGAGAGAGUGAGAAGAAGAAGAUGGGUGACUGAAUGGUAGGACCAAAGAAUGAAUGGAGAGACCCAAACUCUGAUAAAUGAAUCUGUCAAAUCUCAAUGAGAAAGAAUGCAUGAAUAGCAGGAAGGAUGCAGUGUGAGAUGCUUGAAGUAAGGAGCACAAGGACAAGAAAUAAAACUGAGGAACCAAAUGCAAGGAGAAAUAAUUACUAGGGUGCCUGAGACAGAGAGAAAGGAAUACGUGAUGAGAUCUAGACUAUGGAAUUUAGACUCUUCAGACAGAAAAGAAAGGACAGAGAUCAAGACAGUGAUAGAGAGGGGUCUGAAUGGAAACAGUGAGAAAUGAGAGAUGGAUGGAUGGAGACACAAAAAGAAUCUGCACUGUAUUAAAAGAGAGCAAAGAGUGAGUGAUGUACUGAAAGAGAGCCAUAUAUAAGAGACACUUAUUUGGAAAUACCUAUUUUGCACUGAGUGUGUGUGAAAGCAGAAGCCAUAGUAAUGAAGGCUGGAUUCCUGAAAAAAAUAUCUAAACCUUGAAAGGAGGAGAGGUUGAGGUGGCGACAGUCAAGUAUUCUAUGCUGCUAAAGAGCCACUAGAGAACAUGCAAGAAAAUAGUAUAGAGUGAAAGUGAUGAUUGCCUGUUUGCAAAAUCUACCUGAAGGAGUGAAGGAUGAGAGAAGUGAUGGACUGAAUGGUCAUGAUGUGGAGAAACAACACUGCUCCCUGUGGGCUAUGCGGCUAAAUCUAGUGAGCUGGAGUGUGACUGAUGUAUGAAAGGAGAAACUCCAGGUUUGUGUGGUCAAGGGAUCAUCCAGCUGCAGAAGGGCAGACAGUAGUUUAGGUCUAGUAUUAAUACAGCAUGAAUGAAUACAGAAGAGGCCAGGCCACUGUGAAAAAAAUUAAAUGUGUGAGAAAAUGUGAGAUUGUUGGUAUAAAAGGUCAAGCAAGUGAGAAAUGUGAGGAUGGAAAUGCUCUGGAGUGAGAGAUGCCUGGGCAGAGAUUUCUGUCAAUUUAACAAAGUCAGAAGGCAACAUGGAAAGUAAUAAAGGAUGAGCUGCUAAGCAAAGGGCUAAAGCCAAGAUUUCAGAAGACAAGGACAUAGAGUGACUCUAGGGAACCACUGAGGUAGAGACAGGUGUAUGUAGAGACUAGUGAGGGACUAGUGAGAUCUGGCUGCUAGAAAUAACACUAGAGAGUCAGAAACUAGUGUUCAAAAUAAGAUGUUGGCCUUUGUAUGUGUAGAGCAAAGUUAACUGUGUGUGAUGGGUAACUGGCUAUAUACAGAUGAGAGAUGAGUGGCUAAAGAGAAAGAGAGAGAAUGGACUGAGAAAUGCAGAUGGGGCGAAAGUGAGAAUGUGAGACCCAAAGACCACAAAGAGAGGAGUGAAAGGAGAGACCCAACCUCUGAUACUUGUGGGGACAGUCAAAUUCCAAUAAGAAAAAGGAUGAGUGGAAAGAGAAGGUAACGUGAGGUGACUGAAUGGGGGAGCAGCAAAGAAAGGAAGUAUGCUUAGUGAGACUGGAUGAAAGAGAAACAUUUGGAGAAGAACACAGAAAAGGGGAAAUAAUUGACAAGACAAGUUAACAGAGUCAAAAGUAUAGAAAAGGAGAUAUUUCUGCACAGGAGCCCAAUGAAUACUUAGAAUAAAAGAGAUAGAUGAUUCUGAUAUUCAGAAAGGAAAAGGCAAGAUAGUAGGAAAAGAGGAGCCAGAACUGAAAGAAUACAAUGAACGCAGAAAGAGGGAAAGAAAACACUAGAUGGACAGAGCUGGAAAGUGAGCGAGAGAGAGAUUAUAAUAGAGAUGUACUCAAUGAAAGAUUUGUUGUUGCAGAUCAUGACACAGUUAAGUGGUUUGGAAAGCCAAAGAAGUAAAGUAGAGAAUGUGGAAAAAUAGAGAUAGCUGAGCAUGUGAGAAGAUGAAAAUAGUGAAGAUUCAAUACUAGCAAGGAUAAGAUCAGGGAGAGGAAGCUGAAUCAAUAGCAGUAUGAGACAGGACUGUGUCCUAGGGAAAAUCCCUGAGGGAGAGAGGAGGUCUAGACAGAUUAAGGGAACAAGUGGGACAAGUACACAUAAAGAAAUUGAGGGAUGAAUGGAUAUACUGUGAGGAGAGAAUUGAAUGGAUGAAGAGAAUUAGGAAAAGGAGAGGAGAGUAAGAAAAGGAGAGAGAAAAUAAGAGUCAGAGGAUGAAGAUGGGUGACCAAAUGGCAGACAGAAAAGAAUGAAUGGAGAGACCCAAACUCUGAUACAUGAGUGACUGUCAAAUCUUGUUGAGAAGGAACGUAUGAAUGGCAAGAAAUUUGUGGUGAGAGAUGGCUGAAUGGAGGAGCACAGGGAGGAGAAGCAAAACUGAGGAGACGCAUGCAAAGAGUAAUAGUUAGACACAGUGACUGAGAGAGGGAGAAAGGAAUCCAUGUUGAGACCUAGACUGGGGGAAAUGGAUGAAAUAGACACUCAAGUGAUGUGAACGGAAUCAAUAAAGAGGUAUAAGCAGCUGAGAAACUAGAAUGUCUAGAACUCAGAGACAAAAAACAAAGGCAUGAGAGACCUAGACAGUGAGAGAGAUCCAAAUGGAGAGAGACACCAAAAGAGUGAGCACUAUGUGGAAAGAGACAGCAAGAGAGUGUGUGAUAUAUGGAAAUAACCCUGUACGCACAAAAGAAAUAUUUGACUGGUAAUAAGUAUGCUUUGCAGUGUGCGUGUGGAAGCAGAAGCCAUAGCUAUGAAGGAUGAAUAACUGAAAAACAGGAAAACAAUGAAAGGAUGAAAGGUGAGAGGAUGAGAGUCAAGUUUACCAUGCUGCUAAAAAGCCAUUGAAGAACUUACAAGAAAAUGGUGAAGAGUAAAAGUUAUGAUUGGCUGUUUGCAAACUCUACCUGAAAGAGUGAAGGAUGAGAGAAGUGAUGGACUAAAUGGGCAUGAUGUGGAGAAACAACACUGCUCCCUGUGUGCUAUGCGGCUAAAUCUAGUGAGCCUGAUUCUGACUGAUGUAUGCAAGGAGAAACUUCAUGUUUGUGUGGUCAAGGGAGCAUCAAGCUGUAGAGGGGCAGAGAAGAGUUUAGGUCUAGUACUAAUAGAGCAUGAAAGAAUACAGAAGAGGCUGGGCCACUGUGAAAACAAAAAGAGUAAAAAAUUUGGGGAUGAAUGGAUAUACUGGGAGGUCAGAAUUGAAUGGAUAGAGAAGUUGGGAGAGGAGAGUGCAGUGAGCAAGUGAGAGUGAGGGAAUGAGGAUGGGUGACUGAAUGGCAGUACAAAGAAUGAUUGGAGAGACCCAAACUCUGAUACAUGAGUGACUGUCAAAUCUUGUGAGAAAGAACACAUGAAUGGCAUAGUGCAUGCAGUGUGAUAUGGCUGAAUUGAGGAGCACUGGGAGGAGAAGUAAAACUAAGGAGCCACAUGCAAAGAGAAAUAGCCACAGUGACUGAGAAAGGGAGACAGGAAUCUAUGUUGAUGCCUAGACUAUGGGAAAUGGAUGAAUUUAGACACUUGAGAGAUAUGCAAGGAAUAGGAAAAGAGAUAUAAAGAACUGUGAACCAUGAAUGUUUAAAACUCAGAAAGGAAAAAGGAAGAUGAACCUAGAAAUUUAGAGGGGGUCUGAAUGGAGACAGUGAGAAAUAAGAAAUGGAUAGAGAGAGACACACACAAAAAGAAUGAGCAGUAUUUUUGGAAAGAGAGAGCAAGAGAGUGUAUAAUGUAUUGAAAGAGACUUGUACGCAAGCAAGAGAUACUUGGGUGGAAAUAUCUGUACGUGGCAGUGUGUGUGUGAAAGCAGGAACCAAAGCCAUGAAGGAUGAUUAGCUGCAAAAUUUCAAAACCAUGAAAGGAUGAAAGGUGAGAGGGUGAUAGACAAGCUUACCUCACUGCUAAAGAGCCAUUGGAGAACAUGUACGUAUAUGGUGAAGAGUGGAAGUGAUAAUUGGCUAUUUGCAAAAUCUAAAAGAAGGAGUGAAGGAUGAGAGAAGUGAUGUACUGAAUGAAUAUAGUGUGGAGGGAUAAAGCUGUCCCCUGGAGGCUGUGUGGCUAAAUCUAGCACGCUCAGUUGUGUCCAAUGUAUGAAAGGAGAAACUUCAUGUUUGUGUGGUCAAGGAAUCAUCAAGCUGUAGAGGGGCAGAAAAGAGUUUAGGUCUAGUACUAAUAGAGUAUGAAUGGAUACAGAAGAGGCCGGGCCAUUGUGAAAAAAAAACGAGUGAAAAAAUAAGAGAGUGAAAUGAUGAGAUUGGGUGACUGAAUGGCAGAAUAAAAGAAUGAAUGGAGAGACCCAAACUCUGAUGCAUGAGUGACUAUCAAAUCUCAAUUAGAAGGAAUGGCAAGGAGUAUGUGUUGUGAGAUGAACGUUUUUUACAUUGUGAAAACAAGAAAAUGAGUGAGAAAAUGUGAGUCUGUUGGUAUGAAAGUUCAAGACAAUGAGAGUUGAGUGGCUAAAGAGAAAGACAGAGAAAAGUGGAGUGAGAAAUCCCGAUGGGGUGAAUGUGAGAAUGUGACACACAGAGACCAGAAAGACAGCAGUGAAAGGAGACCCAACCUCUGAUACUUGAAGGAAUAGUCAAAUUUCAAUAAGAAAAAGGAGUGAAUGGUAAGAGGCAUGUAAGGAGAAAUGACUGAAUUUGAAAGCACAAAAGAAAGGAAGAACGACUGGUGAGAUUGAAUAAAAGAGAAAUAUUUGGAGAGGGACAGUGAGGGAAGGAGAAAUGAAUGGAAAGGCAAGUCAACUGAGUGAAAGGUUUAGAAAAAGAGAUAUAUCAGCAGGGGAACAUAAUGGAUCUGAAGACAAAAAGAGGUAGAUGGUGUUGAUAUUCAGGUAGGAAAAGGCAAGCUAUUAGUAGAAGAGGACCCAAGACAAAAGAAUUGGAUAAAUGGGGAAAGAGGCAAAUGCAGUGAGGGUUAUAUAGAAAUGGAGAUGAAUUGAAUAAAAGAUUUAUAGCUGCAGAUCAGGACACAAUGAAGUGGGUUGGAAAGCCUAAAAAGUAAAGUAGAGAAGGUGGAGAAAUAGAGAUAGCUGAGCCUGUGAGAAGAUGAAGAUGCUGAAGAUUUAAUAAACAAUACUAGGAGGCAUAAACUCAGGGAGAGGAAGCUGAACCAAGAACAAUAUGAGAUAUCAUUGUGUCCUAGGAAAAUCCCUGAGUAUGAGAGAAAGUGUAGAGAGAUAGAAGGGAACCAAAUGUGACAAGCAUACAUACAGAAAUUGAGGGAUGAAUGGAUAUACUGGGAGGUCAGAACUAAAUGGAUGGAGAAAUUGUGAGAGGAGAGUUGAGUGAGAAAAUGAAAGUGAGAGGAUAAGAAUGGGUGACUGAAUGGCAGAAUAAAAGAAUGAAUGGAGAGACCCAAACUCUGAUAUAUGAGGGACUGUCAAAUCUCAAUGAGAAGGAAUGCAUGAAUGGUAAGGAAUAUGUAGUGUGAGAUGGAUGAACUGAGGAGCACAAGGAAGCAAAAUCUGUAGUUAGCCAGGGUGCCUGAGCGAGAGAUAUAAGUGUACGUGUUGAGACCUUGACUGUGGGAGAUGGAUGAAUUCAGACACUUGGGUGAUGUGAAAGGAAUGAGUAAAGAGAUAUCAGAAGCUGAGAAACAUGAAGGUCAAAAAGUCAGAAACUGAAAAGAAAGGGAAGAGAGACCUAGACAGCUGGAUGAAUCCAAGUGGAGAGAGAGAGAAAUAAGAGACGGAUGGAGUGAGGCACAAAAAGUGUGAGCAUUGUAUGGAAAGAGACAGCAAGAGUGUGAGUAAUAUAUGGAACGAGACAGCAAGAGAAUGCAUAAUGUAUUGAAAGCAAUGUAUGCAUGUAAGAGAAACGUGGCUGCAAAUACCUGUACUUUGCUGUGUGUGUGUGUGUGUGUGUGUGUGUAAGAAGUUUAUCUAUGAAUUCUUGAAAAAAUAACAAGGCCUUCAAAGGAUAAGAAGUGAGUGUGUGAGAGUCAAGCAUAAUACACUGCUAAAGAGACGUUGAAGAACAUGCAAGAAAAUGGUGCAGAGUGAAAGUGAAGAUUGGCUGUCUAGAAAAUCUACCCUGAAGGAGUGAAGCAUGAGAGAAGUGAUGGACUGAAUGUGCAUGAUGUGGAGAAGCAAGGCUGCUCCCUGUGGGCUAUGCGGCUAAAUCUAGUGAGCUGGAGUGUGACCAGUGUAUGAAAGGAGAAACUACAUGUUUGUGUGGUCAAGGGAUCAUCGAGCUGUGAGGGGCAGAGAAGAGUUUAGGUCUAGUACUAAUAGAGCAUGAAUGAAUACAGAAGAAGCCGGGCCACUGUGAAAAAAAAGAGUGAGAAAAUGUGAGAUUGCUGGUACGAAAGAUCAAGGGAGUGAGAAAUGUGAAGAUGGAAAGGCUCUGGAUGAGGGAAGCCUGAGCAGAGAAUUCUGUUAAUUUAACAAAGUGAGAAAGCAAAAUGGGAAGUAAUAAAGGAUGAGCUGCAGAUCAAAGGAAGAAAGCCAUGAUCUCAGAGGACAAGGAGAGAUAGAGUGGCUCUAGGGAACCACUGAGGUAGAGACAGGUACAUGUGGAUAGGGACUAGUGAGAUCUGGCUGCUACAAAUACUAUUUGAAUGUCAGACAUUUGUGUGAAAUAAGAUGUUGAAUGGGACUUGGAUGUGUAGAGCAAGGACAAUUUUGAGUGAUGAAUGGGACAUAUGCAGAAUGUGCGAGUUGAGUGGCUGAAGAGAAAGAGAGAGGAGAGUGGAGUGAGAAAUGCUGAGAGGGUGAAGCUAAGAAUGUGAGACAUAGAAACCACAAAGUGAGGAGUGAAAGGAGAGACCCAACCUCUGAUACUUAAGGGGACAGUCAAGUUCCAAUAAGAAAUAAGCAUGAAUGGAGCGAGGAAUGCAAUGUGAGAUGACUGAAUUGGGGAGCACGAGAGAAAGGAGUGAGAAUGAAUGAAAGAGAAACAUUUGGAUGAGAAAAGCAAAAAUGAAUGCCAACUGAGGACUACAGCGGGAAAAGUCUAUGAAAGGACACAUAUCAGUAGGGGAGCCCCAAUGGAUGCAAAGAAUGAUUGGUGCAGCGACUGCUUGGCCAAGAUCCAAUGGAAGAGUUCUUGAGAUUGAAAGAGAUGGAUGAAUGGAGAAAGGGGAAAAAAUGAAUAAUGGGGGGAACAAGAUUAAGAGCAAGUGAGGGAUAUAUGGAAAUGGAUGUUACAGGGUUAAUGAUUUGUGAAUGCAGAUCAUGAGACACAGUAAGGUAGGUUGGAAAGCCUAACAAGUAAAGGAAAGAUAGUUGAGAAAACAGAGAUAGCCAAGGCUGUAAGAAUUUCAAGAUGUUGAGGAUUUAAUAAGCAAUAGGGGAGAGAAACUUAGGCAGAGGCAGCUGAAUUAAGAGAAGUAUGAGAGAUGACUGUGUCCUAGGAAAAGUCUCUGAGGGGUGAGAUGUCUCAGAGUGAUAGAAGGGAACAAAUGGGACAUGCAAGCAUAAAGAAAGAAAGGGAUGAAUAGAUAUCAUGAGGUUUCAAAGUUGAAUCGAUGAAGGGUAGAGAGAGGAGAAUGGAGUGAGUAAAUAAGAGAGUCAGAGGAUGAGGAUGAUUGAUCGAAUGGCAGAACCAAAAGAAUGGAUGGAGAGACCCAAACUCUGAUAUGUGAAUGACUGUAUGAAUGGCAUAUUGUAUGUGAUGUGAGAUGGCUGAAUUGAGCACUGGGAGGAGAAGCAAAACUGAGGAGCCAAAUCCAAAGAGAAAGAGUUAGCCAGAGUGCUUGAGAAAGAAAGAAAAGUAUCCAUGUGGAGAACUAGACUGUGGCAAAUGGAUGAAGUAGAAUCAGUGUUGUGAGAGGAAUGGGUGAUGAAAUAUAUAUGUAUAUGUAUAUGUAUGUAUGUAAUGAGUACCACGAAUGUCUAGACUCAGAGAGAACAAAGGGAAGAGAGACCUAGAUAGUGAGAGGGAUCCAAAUGGAGACAGUGAGAAAUAAGAGACAGAAGGAAAGAGAGAUCAAGAGAGUAAGUGAUGUAAGAAAAGAGAGCUGGACACAAUUAAGAAGUGCUUGGUUUUACAUAAUUGUACUUUGUAGAAUAUGUGUAAAAGCAGAAGCCUUAGCCAUGAACGAUGAGUUCCUGAAAAAAAAAUCUAAACUUUGAAAGGAGGAAAAGCGAGAGGGUGAGAGCCAAGUAUAAUACACUGCUAAAGAGCCGUUGUGGGACAUGAAAAUGGGAAAGAGUGAAAGUAAUGAUUGGCUGUUUAGAAAAUCUACCUGAAGGAGUGAAGGAUGAGAGAACUGAUGUAUGGAAUGAGUGUGGUGUAUAGAGACAAAGAGGGAAAAGGAUGAGUGGAAGGAAACAUGCAAUGUAAGAACAUUGAAUUGGGGAGGAACAAGAAAAGGAAGAAUGAGUGGUGAGACUGCAUGAAAAGAGAAGCAUUUGGAGGACACUGCUAGAAAGGGAAAUGAAUAUGAGCAUAAGUCAAAGGUGUACAAAAGGUGAUUUCAGUAGGAGAGCCCAAUGAAUACUUCAAUUAAAGGAGGGAGAUUCUGCUGAUAUCCAGGAAUGAAAAGGCUAGGAAUUAGUGGAUAAGGACUGAAGACGGAAAGGAGAUACAUGAACAGAGAAAGAGGAAUAUUAGCAAUGGAUGUAAAAAGAGGCAAAGAGAGGGAGAGGUGUAUGGAAAGGAAGCUGUGCUCAGUGAACGUUUUAUGGCUGUAAGUAUUGAGACAGUAGGGUGGGUGGGAAGCCCAAGAAGUAAAGGAAGGAUGUAGGAGAAAAUAGAGAUAGUUGAGGCUGUAAGAAGGUCAAGAUGCUGAGAUUUAAGUAGGCAAGAGUGGGAGGGAUAACUUCAGGGAGAGAAAGCUGAAUCAAGAGCAGUAUGAGAAUUGACUGUGUCAUAGGAAAAGUCCCUGAGGGAGAGAGAAGCCCCAGACAUUAGGGAACAAGUAGGAGAUGUACACAAAGAGAAAGUGGGGAGUGGAUAUCCUGGGGUGUCACAGUUGAACGGAGAAAGAGAAGUAGGGAGAGGAGAGUGGAGAGGGAAAACGAGAGUGAAAAAGUAAGCAAGGCAGAACCCACAGAAUGAAAGGACAGACCCAAACUGAUAGAUUAGUGACAAAUGUCAAGAAAAAGGAAUGCAUUACAGGAUGAAGUCAGGGUGUGAGACAGCUGAAAUGACGAGUAAAAGGAAGAGAAGAAAGGAUGUGAAGCCAUAGCAAUGAAGAAAGUUAGCUAGGGUGCUUGAGGGAGGGGAAGAAGGAAUCAAUGUUGAGACCCAGAUAGUGAGAGAAGACUGAAUGGAGAAAGUGGGAAAUGAGAGAACAGUAACCACAUCUCUCUCCACAUCUCACCACCUUUAAAACAUUGAGAAGUUAAGUUACAGACCCCCCCAGAACUAGCUAUGAAAACAGCAGGGAGAAUGAUUCUGAACUUUGGGACAAUGACACACAUUUCCCCCACCUUACUCUAAGAGCUUAUCAGAGCCCAAGUCUAACAUAAAAGUAAAAAAUCAAGAUGUUGACUUGGCAAAUAGGCAAACCAUUAAAAGGUAUCUAUUGACAAGGAACCUCAAGACACAAACUCAGAUGACCACAAUAAUCUGAAAAUUUCAAAGAAAAAUGCAAAGUGGAACUAAACAAAAGAGAAAGAUGAAAAAAUGAAGCAAAAAUAAUUUCUUAAACUCAAAGAAGAACACUAGAGGAAACCUGUGGGAAAAAUGAGAGCAAUGCAAGAAAAAUAUGCAAAGAGAAUUGGUGGCUUAGAAAAAGAGAUACAAAAACAAUGAAAAAAUAACUACAUAUAAAGCAGAAUUGGCCAAGGGAAAAAAGAGGUACAGAGUAUCACUAAAGAAAAUAAUUCUUGAAAAGUUAGAAUUGGUCAAGUAGAAAGCUAAUGACAACUAUGAGUGAUCAAAAAACAAGAAAACAUAUCAAAAUAAUGAAAAAAUGUGAAAUAUCUUUUCAGAAAAACAAGUUACCCAGAAUUUCUUAAACUCAAAGAAGAACAGUAAAGGAAACGUGGAAAAAAUGAGAGCAAUGCAAGAAAAAUAUGCAAAGAGAAUUGAUGGCUUAGAAAAAGAGAUACAAAAAUACUGAAAAAUAACUACAUAUAAAGCAGAAUUGGCCAAGGGAAAAAAGAGGUACAGAGUAUCACUAAAGAAAAUAAUUAUUGAAAUGUUAGAAUUGGUCAAGUAGAAAGCUAAUGACAACUAUGAGUGAUCAAAAAACAAGAAAACAUAUCGAAAUAAUGAAAAAAUAGAAAAAAUGUGAAAUAUUUUUUCAGAAAAACAAGUUACCUGGAAUUUCUUAAACUCAAAGAAGAACACUAGAGGAAAUAUGUAGAAAAAUUGAGAGCAAUGUAAGAAAAAUAUGCAAAGAGAAUUGAUGGCUUAGAAAAAGAGAUACAAAAAUACUGAAAAAAUAACUACAUAUAAAGCAGAAUUGGCCAAGGGAAAAAAGAGAAUUGAUGGCUUAGAAAAAGAGAUACAAAAAUACUGAAAAAAUAACUACAUAUAAAGCAGAAUUGGCCAAGGGAAAAAAAAGAGGUACAGAGUAUCACUAAAGAAAAUAAUUCUUGAAAAGUUAGAAUUGGUCAAGUAGAAAGCUAAUGACAACUAUGAGUGAUCAAGAAACAAGAAAACAUGUCAAAAUAAUGAAAAAAUAGAAAAAAUUUGAAAUAUCUUUUCAGAAAAACAAGUUACCUGGAAAAGAGAUCAAGAAAUGAUCAAUUAAGAAAUAUUAAGAAAGCCUCGACAUCAUAUUUCAAAAUAUUAUAUUAUAAAUGAAAACCGCCCAUGCUUUUUAGAACCAGAAAGUAAAAUAGAAAAUGAAAGAAUUUAUAGUCAUAUCCUGAAAGCAAAACCAAAAUGAAAACUCCCAGGAAUAAGAGACAAAUUCUAGAGCUUUUUACUUGAGGAGAGAAACUACUUAAAGCAUCCAGAAAGAAAAAAAUUUCAAUACUUUGCAGCCAUAGUCAAGAUCGCAUAAAAUUUAGCGGGUACUAAGAUAAAGGGGCAGAGGGAUUAUAUAACAAUUUCAUAAAAAAAAGAGGGGGAGGGAGGAAGAAGAAGAGGGGGAGAGAGAGAGAGACAGGAAGGGAGAGAGAGACAGAAAUAGACAGAGAUGGGGGAAGAGAGAGAGGAGCAGGCAGAGAGACAGAGAUAGAGAAACAGGAAGGGGAAGAAAAACAAGAGAUUGAGAGACUCAGACAGAAGGGGGCAAGAGAGAGAGAGGAAGGGAGAGAGAAACAGGAAGGGGGAGAGAGACAGAGGGAGACUCAGAAGGGGGGAGAGUAGCAAAAGAGAGGAGGGGAGACAGAGACAGGAGGAGGGAGAGACAGAUAGGAGUUGAGAGAGAAAGAGACAGAAAUGGGGAAGAGAGACAGACAGACAGGCACAGGAGGAGAGAGGGAGAGACAGAUAAGAAAGGAGACAGAGAUAGAGGAGGGGGAGAUCAAGACAGACAGAGACAGGAGGGGGGGAACAGAGACAGACAGGAGGGGAAAGAGAAAGAUAAAAGGGAGAGAGACAGGAGGAGGGAGAGAUUCAGGAUGUGAGAGACAGACAGAAGGGGAGAGAGAGAAUGGGGGGAGAGAAACAGAGAGAGGGGGAAGAGAGAGACAGAUCAGAGGAGGGAUAAAUAGGAAGGGAGAAAGACAGAAAGAGACAGGGAAGAGAGGGGGGGAAAGAGACAUAGGAGGGGAGACAGGGAGAGACAGGCAGGAAGGGAGAAAGAAACAGGAGGGGGAGAGAGCAAGAGAGAGUAAAAGAAAGGGCAAGAGAGCAACAGACAGGAGGCGAGAGAGAGAUAAUCAGAAAAAUAGAAAGGAGAUGAGAGAGAGAGACAGAUAGGAGGGAGAGAGAGACAGAGACAAGAGGGGAGAGAGACAGACAGAAAAACAAACAGGAAGGGAGAGACAGAGACAGGAGGGUAGAGACAGAUAGGAGUGAGGAGAGAAACAAAGGGAGAGACAGGGUGACAGAGAUAGAGGAGGGGAGAGAGACAGAGUGAAAGAGAUAGAGGGGGGAAAGAGUCAGAGAUAGGAAGGGGGAGAGAGACUGAGACAGAAAGACAGACAGACAGGAGGGGGGAAGAGCGAGAGAGAGUGAAAGAGAAGGUGAGAGAGCUAGAGAAAGGAAGAGGGGAGAGAGACGUAGAUAGGAAGGGGAGAGAGAGACAAAGACAGGAGGGGGAGAGAGAUAAUCAGAAAAAUAGAAAGGAGGGGAGAGAGGGAAAGACAGAGAGUGACAGAGAUAGAGGAGGGGAGAGAGAGAGACAGAUAGGGAGAAAGAGACAGUGACAGGAGCAGGGAGAGAGAGUCAAAGACAGGAGGGGGACAGAGAAAGAUAAACAGGAGGGGAGAGACAGAUGGGAGUGAGGAGAGAGAGAGACAAAAGGAAAGACAGUGACAGAGAGACAGAAAGACAGGAGGGGGGAGAGAGAGAGUGAAAGAGAGAUAGAAAAAGGAGGAGGGGAGAGAGACAGAAAGACAGGAGGGGGAGAGAGGCACACAGACAGACAGAAAGGGAGAGACAGAAACAGAGUAAAAGAGAUAGAGGGAGGAGAGGAAGAGGGGGGAAGGAAGAGGAUGGAGGAAAAAACAAAUCAACAGAGUGACCCCUUGAGUGAGAGAUGGAUGGGUAUAUUGAAAUAGCAAGGGAACAUUACAUAAUUAGAAAAAAUUAACCAGGAAAUGGUAGGUGAAUGGUCAAAGACAAAGAUACAGGGAGAGAAAAAUUGAUUGAGAAAGAUAGAUACAGCAGGGUGACAAUGAUUGAUGCACAGGCACUGAAAGUGUGAAUGGAGAAAUUCAGGCUGUAGGUAAGGUGACAGAGAGAUCUAACUAGCAGAAAGUGAAUGAACAGUAUGAAAUGUAAGAUGGCCGAAUUGGGAAUUAGCAGGAAAGAGAUAAAUGAACAAAAUGAAUCUUGUUAUAGAGAAUGAGACAAACGGAUCUCUUAGACUAGACACUUGGAGAUAAAGAAAUAAAAAGUUAGAAAGAAUUCAGCAUUGCAAAACCCAUGGCUGAAUAGCCCAAGAGAAGCAUGGAAUAGUGAAUGCUAAUAUUAAAAACCCAAGAAAAAUGGAAGAGUGUGUAAGAUAUCAAAAAAUGAAUUCGUGGAGAAAUCAGAAUCACAAAGAAAAAAUGGUAAGAGAGAUAAAAAUACAUGGAAAAAGUUAUACUAAGUGAGAGAUUCUUGGCUGAAGAUGCAUGUAUGAGUGAAUAGUUAAUAGUCAAAAUUGAAAUUAGAAAGAAGGAAGGAAUGACGAGAGUUCUACAAUGCAAGAUGAAGUGAGAACAGUUGGCAAGACUGAAAUGAAAUGGUUAGACGGAGCCAUGUUCGAAAGGAUAUUUAGAUUAGCUGAAGAAAGGAGACGUGAAUGGAUGGCAAGGCCUAGAAGGUAACAGAUGAAUGAAUAUUGAGGCAAAAGUAGCAAGGAUAUUGUGAUUACAAAGAGCUGGAAAAUGAAAAGCAAACGACUAUAUUGAGAAUUAGAUAUGGAAUAUUUGCUGAGAUCCUGACACUGAGAUUCAGGUGAAAGUACAAAUCUAGAAAGUAAGGUUUAGAUACUUAGAAAAACAACCCAAGUGGGAAAUGGAAGUGUAAAGUCAAGUCCCAAGUCAGAAUUACCUGCUUAGAAAAACACUCUGGAAUUGGCUGGGGAGAUAUGGAUUAAUGGAAAGGCUUAGACAGGGACGAAUGCAUUACUUGCAGGGACAGGUGGGAGUUAGGUGUGUAUACCAGCAGGGAGGUACUCAGAGAGACAGACAGACAGGAGGGAAGAGACAGAGACAGGAGUGGGGAGAGAGACAAACAAACAGAAAGGGAGAGACAGAGUGAAAGAGGGGGAAGUUAGGUGUGUAUACCAGUAAUACAGAUGUGAGGAAUAGGGUAAAAUGAGGGUGGGAAUAAUAGAGAAUUCUAGGAGGGAAAGAAAGAUAAAAGAACAGAAGGAGGGUUAGGCGUGAUCAAGAGAGACCCAAAUGGAGCUACACAACGGACGGAUCACAGCGAUGGAUUCCAUGGAGAAAAUGCAACGGAUCAAGAAACAGCUGGAGUGGAUCUGUGAUGAAGGAAUACAGAUCAGCAAACAGCAAUCCUGAGAGGUGAACAUUUACAGCUUUGGAGGCUACCUCACGAAUCCAGGAGAUCCAGAGACUUCGAAUAAGAGUUGUCCGACAAGAAGGAACUGUUUUCUUGCAACUGGACCCAUUUUUGGAGAAAUGAACAUACAUCGGGACUGGAAUGGACCAUGUGACCUUGGAAAGUUCAGAAGAGCUACUGGAGGUUCGGGAGCUUGAGUCCGAGACAAACUUGGUAAUCGCCGAGCCUAGUCUGCCAGCACGGCCCCAAGGGACAGCCAAGACGCCAGGUCCUACAAGCAAGAAAGCAACUCUGUCCAUUGCGCCACGUUCAGAAUUUAACAUGGCACGCAAAUGCAUUGGAGCAGAAACUUUAAGUUUCAUCUCACUUUCCUCAGGAACUAAGGUGGUUUGGGGGAAUAUAUGCCCUGGACUGUGUCUUCUCAGUGAAUAGAUCUUUGUAACAGGAAAUUGAUGUCUAUUGGUUAAAAGGAGGCAAUAAUAAACCCACAAGCACUGGCAACUGAUACUGAAUAAAAAACAUUGUUAAAGGCUCAGGCCAAAAGCAUUAGAACAAAACAUUUUCAAUCUUUCAGAGACAGUCCUAGAACCCUGAGGUGAGAUGGAGGAGCUGACCCUGGAAAGUCAAAGCUGCAGAGCACAGCCUGCAUACUCAGUUUCUCUCCUUACUGUUUCUUAGGAUCUUUGGGGAUGAAAGAGAGGGGAAGACUGGGAGGAAAAGCAGGAGGAGCAGUCUAAAUAUGAUUAAGGACCAAGUAUCACAUCUAGGAGCUCUGAAAUUUGUUGCCUUGUGUUUGUGCUGUUGUUUUUUUUGUUUUGUUUUGUUUUGUUUUUUAACAUGACCACUUUAUAUUGAUUGCAUCUUAUAAAUGAAAGAUUUAUCCAGAAUAAGGUAAUUCCAGAAUUGGGGCAGAAUGUGGCUGUAGAUUUUAUUUUUCUUAUUACUGAGAUAUAUGUAUUGCACCUUUAACUUAAAUUAAGGAGCAGGCCAGGACCACAUGCCUCCAUGGGAAGGGAACUAGUCUGAGUUUGUUCAGGCUGAGUUCCCUCUUGUAGCCAAUGGAGAUGCUAAAACAUUUGAGAAAGGCUAUUUGGGGGAGGUACCAGUGCAAGUCUAAUGGUGCCUCUAGGGUAAUGGCUGCAAUAGUGUCGCAUAGUCAACAAUUCAUAUGCUUCCCUCUCUCUUUAGAUGAUUACUAUCAUAUCUACCUACUAGGGCUUCAGGAUGGUGGCACAGGAACUGUGUGGACCAAGUCCAAUUCCAAGUAUUUCAUGCAGCCUUUACCAUUGUCACAGAGAGAUGAUGAUGAUCACAAGACAACUUUCCAAAAUUUAGGGGAGUCGGUGAAAGCAGUCCUCAAAAUCAUAUUUUCUCUCUGAAAACAUUAAUAUGAUGAAGAAAGAAUAUUAUUGACUGAGUAAUCUAAUCCUGGAAUACUAGGAUGAUUAGGAGAAACUUACCAAAUUUAGGGGAGUCGGUGAAAGCAGUCCUCAAAAUCAUAUUUUCUCUCUGAAAACAUUAAUAUGAUGAAGAAAGAAUAUUUUUGACUGAGUAGUCUAAUCCUGCAACGCUAGGGUGACCAGGAAAAACUUACCAAAAUUUAGGGGAGUCAGUGAAUGCAGUCCCCCAAAUCAUAUUUUCUCUCUGAAAACAUUAACAUGACGGAGAAAGAAUAUUUUUGACUGAGUAAUCUAAUCCUGGAACGCUAGAAUAACCAGGAGAAACUUACCAAAAUUUAGGGUAGUUGGUGAAAGCAGUCCCCAAAAUCAUAUUUUCUCUCUGAAAACAUUAACACAAUGGAGAAAGAAUAUUUUUGACUGAGUAAUCUAAUCCUGGAAUACUAGGAUGAUUAGGAGAAACUUACCAAAUUUAGGGGAGUCGGUGAAAGCAGUCCCCCAAAUCAUAUUUUCGCUCUGAAAAUAUUAACACAAUGGAGAAAUAAUUUUAUUAAUUGAGUAAUCUAAUCCUGGAACUCUAGGAUUUACUUACAAAAUGUAAAAGAAAAUUCUUCACAUGCUGAAAGAAUCAAAUUGAGAGUGUCAGUCAAGCAGCUUUACAAUUGGAAGCACAGAAACUAAGACUAUUGCCCAUUUCAUCAGUGUGCCCCAGGGGCUGAGGAAGGUGGGAGAGGAUAAGGAUGGGACAAAACAGCUCCCACUUGUGGGGUGGAACCUCAUCACAAGUAUAUAUUUAUGUUGGAUCCUUUUCCUGAACCCAGGAAGUAUCUUCACUGUAUAUGUACAUCCAGGAUGACAGUGAAUCCCACCCCAUCCUUCCCCUACCAGCAGCAAAAAGGGAGCAAGCCACAGUUCUCAGACUCUCCCUCCACUGCUAUAAAGGAGAGAGCGUCAACCCACAACUGUCAGCUCCCUUCCCUCUUCUCUUUCUCAUCAACUGCAAAGAAAGAACACCCAGUCACCAGAGUUGACACUAGGAAAUUUUGGGGGGACAAUAAUUCCAGGUGUCUUGCUGUGGGUUUGGAGUGGAGAUAUAGCCUCUUCCACUCUCAAAUUAGACACAAAGGAAAUAAAUCCUUCAUUAAAUCCCAUUGUUGCUGUUAAUUGGAACUAAGAAAUAAUGAGAGGUAGUUAUCUAUGCCCUAUGACACGAGACGUGCCUCUGGAUUCCUCCAGGAAGUGGAAAGUAUUGGGAUGGUUAGCGAGGAUUGUCUGAAGGGUAAGGGGAUAGUGGGGGGUGGUCAGCAAGUAGGCUUUGGGUGCCUUCUCACAGUCCUGCAAAUGGGGAAGGGAGGGACAACUUUGCUCCUAAUCCACGUGUAUAUGCUCCCCAUUCCCUCCUCCCUCCCAGCAUUGUACCCUCUGUUGCCAGGCUCCGUGCCCUUCCCUCUACUUAGUUCCCAUCAGCCAGCAAAAAGGAGAGAGUGACUAUACCUCUUUUUUCCUCCAAGCAGAACAAGUAAUCUUUGUAUGAAGUUAUAAUUUAGCUUAAUUUACUUAAAAACUUUCCCAUUUUAUAAAAAGAGAACAGUUUGGAACAAAAAAAGCAACUCUGCAAGAAAAAGAUUAGUGCUAAAUGGAAUCCAGCUCCCGCAGCCCGAUGCUCAGGAUCAGUAAAGGGCAUUACCAAGAUGAUUCCUUGCAUGUAUAGCUUGGACCACAUGGAAGUUGAGGUCCCUGUCAACUCUCACCAUCUAUAACCCUGUGGGUCUCAACUUUAAUACUCCUCUCAGAGAGUUCUACCAGUAGACAUACCCCCACCCAAUGUAGACACCUAAAGAAUGGGAACUAAAGAGGGCCCAAGUUUGACCCCAAGCGGAGAGCUAACUAAAAUGGCAGAAAAGGUCAGACUUGCAUAGUAUUAGAGAGACAGAAAUGGCAUGAAAUGAAACAAAAUUAAAUACAAGCACUUGAAGCAAGGGAGUUUAAACACAAGGUAUCGCUCAGGAAGGGAGAGUGGCUAUCUGACAUAAAGAAAACAGGAAAUGGGGAGCAGGGUGCUCUGGGAGCUCAACCCCUGCUUCUGUUCCUUUUCCAGAGAUAUCCUGCAUUGAAAUACAACUUCAAGCUCAUUCCCCAUGAUGAAUGCUCUACUCCUAGUGGGACUAAGAAAAUAAAUGACUGUGUCUGGGAGGGAGGAGCUUGUGUCUUCUUGGGAAUGCCCAAAGCACCCCAACAGCCUGUGGUCGAUUUCCACUCUUCUGAUUAAAACUUUUAUCAAGUA
Long non-coding RNA from Sarcophilus harrisii (Tasmanian devil), 21958 nucleotides. The record is from Ensembl. NCBI's taxonomy places the organism in Eukaryota, Metazoa, Chordata, Mammalia, Dasyuromorphia, Dasyuridae.